CGGGUGAGUAACACGUAUCCAACCUGCCGUCUACUCUUGGCCAGCCUUCUGAAAGGAAGAUUAAUCCAGGAUGGCAUCAUGAGUUCACAUGUCCGCAUGAUUAAAGGUAUUUUCCGGUAGACGAUGGGGAUGCGUUCCAUUAGAUAGUAGGCGGGGUAACGGCCCACCUAGUCAACGAUGGAUAGGGGUUCUGAGAGGAAGGUCCCCCACAUUGGAACUGAGACACGGUCCAG
RNAcentral lists this ribosomal RNA (233 nucleotides) under uncultured bacterium. RNAcentral's name for it is "partial 16S ribosomal RNA". It matches the Rfam family "Bacterial small subunit ribosomal RNA", at positions 103 to 334 of the family's 1533-position model. The record is from RNAcentral.